Molecule: ribosomal RNA, 878 nt
Filed under: uncultured bacterium
Lineage: Bacteria
Description: partial 16S ribosomal RNA
Rfam family: Bacterial small subunit ribosomal RNA
Source: RNAcentral
CNCANUCCAGUNGGGAGACUGCAAUUCCCUGNNUACCNNUNNAAUGCCCANNNUUCCGGAGGANCCCCCGAUNGCGNAGGCCAGGUUUUUGGGCCUGUAACCGNCGCUUAGGAGCGANAGCAUGGGGACCNANCAGGNCUUAGAUACCCCUGGUAGUCCNUGCCGUAAACGUUGGGCACUAGGUGUGGGGGACAUUCCACGUUUUCCGCGCCGUAGCUAACGCAUUAAGUGCCCCGCCUGGGGAGUACGGCCGCAAGGCUAAAACUCAAAGGAAUUGACGGGGGCCCGCACAAGCGGCGGAGCAUGCGGAUUAAUUCGAUGCAACGCGAAGAACCUUACCAAGGCUUGACAUGAACCGGAAUGAUGCAGAGAUGUGUCAGCCACUUGUGGCCGGUUUACAGGUGGUGCAUGGUUGUCGUCAGCUCGUGUCGUGAGAUGUUGGGUUAAGUCCCGCAACGAGCGCAACCCUCGUUCCAUGUUGCCAGCGGGUUAUGCCGGGGACUCAUGGGAGACUGCCGGGGUCAACUCGGAGGAAGGUGGGGACGACGUCAAAUCAUCAUGCCCCUUAUGUCUUGGGCUUCACGCAUGCUACAAUGGCCGGUACAAAGGGUUGCGAUACUGUGAGGUGGAGCUAAUCCCAAAAAGCCGGUCUCAGUUCGGAUUGAGGUCUGCAACUCGACCUCAUGAAGUUGGAGUCGCUAGUAAUCGCAGAUCAGCAACGCUGCGGUGAAUACGUUCCCGGGCCUUGUACACACCGCCCGUCAAGUCACGAAAGUUGGUAACACCCGAAGCCGGUGGCCUAACCCCUUGUGGGAGGGAGCCGUCGAAGGUGGGACCGGCGAUUGGGACUAAGUCGUAACAAGGUAGCCGUACCGGAA